This 468-nucleotide ribosomal RNA is filed under the name uncultured bacterium. RNAcentral's name for it is "partial 16S ribosomal RNA". It matches the Rfam family "Bacterial small subunit ribosomal RNA", at positions 28 to 508 of the family's 1533-position model. The record is from RNAcentral.
GACGAACGCUGGCGGCGUGCUUAACACAUGCAAGUCGAACGAUGAAGCCCAGCUUGCUGGGUGGAAGAGUGGCGAACGGGUGAGUAACACGUGAGUAACCUGCCCUGAACUCUGGGAUAAGCACUGGAAACGGUGUCUAAUACUGGAUACGACCUAUCACCGCAUGGUGUGUGGGUGGAAAGAUUUAUCGGUUCUGGAUGGACUCGCGGCCUAUCAGCUAGAUGGUGAGGUAAUGGCUCACCAUGGCGACGACGGGUAGCCGGCCUGAGAGGGUGACCGGCCACACUGGGACUGAGACACGGCCCAGACUCCUACGGGAGGCAGCAGUGGGGAAUAUUGCACAAUGGGCGCAAGCCUGAUGCAGCAACGCCGCGUGAGGGAUGACGGCCUUCGGGUUGUAAACCUCUUUUAGUAGGGAAGAAGCGAAAGUGACGGUACCUGCAGAAAAAGCACCGGCUAACUACGUGC